RNAcentral lists this ribosomal RNA (504 nucleotides) under uncultured bacterium. Its description in RNAcentral is "partial 16S ribosomal RNA". It matches the Rfam family "Bacterial small subunit ribosomal RNA", at positions 28 to 523 of the family's 1533-position model. The record is from RNAcentral.
GAUGAACGCUAGCGGCAGGCCUAAUACAUGCAAGUCGAACGGGAUCUGAGGGUAGCUUGCUACCCGAUUUGAGAGUGGCGCACGGGUGCGUAACGCGUGAGCAACCUACCCAUAUCAGGGGGAUAGCCCGGAGAAAUUCGGAUUAAUACCGCAUAAGAAUGUAUUAACGCAUGUUAAAGCAUUUAAAUAUUUAUAGGAUAUGGAUGGGCUCGCGUGACAUUAGCUAGUUGGUGAGGUAACGGCUCACCAAGGCGACGAUGUCUAGGGGCUCUGAGAGGAGAAUCCCCCACACUGGUACUGAGACACGGACCAGACUCCUACGGGAGGCAGCAGUAAGGAAUAUUGGUCAAUGGGCGAAAGCUUGAACCAGCCAUGCCGCGUGCAGGAUGACUGCCCUAUGGGUUGUAAACUGCUUUUGUCGAGGAAUAAACCUAUCUACGUGUAGCUAGUUGAACGUACUCGAAGAAUAAGGAUCGGCUAACUCCGUGCCAGCCGCCGCAGUAA